CUUUUUUCCACACCCUCUCCAGCAUUUAUUGUUUGUAAAUUUUUUGAUGAUGUUUGCUGCCAGUUUAUAAAUAUUGAAUAGUUUCUUCUGAAUUUUGGCCCACUCUAGAAUUUGGUCAUCAUAAGAAGCAAACCAGUCCAAAUUUAUAAUAAAGUCAAACAAAAUUUAUUUAAACAUCAGUUUGCCCUGGGUCAUUGUCGAUUUAUUGGUUGUCAUCUUUUCUUUCUCAGCUGUGAUUCCAUUACAUUAUCACUAUUAUGUAUACAUGUCAGUGAUGUGGAAAUAUAAUCUGUUUUCUUGGCAGUGUGAAAUUUGUCUUCAGAAAAGGCACUCAUGAAAAUUGUUUCCUUUAAGAUGAAAAACCAUUAAUUUGAAGCAAAUGCUAUUAUGUUUACCUAUAAUUAAAAGUACAAACUGACUUUGGCUAGAAGUGAAAUGCUUCCUGUGACAUAUUCGUAAUGAGACAGUCUUCUAGAUCUUGAGAAAACAUGGCAGUGGAAGUGGAUCCAAAGUAUAAGCUAAAAUCAGGCAUGGAAAAUCCCAUAGGAAGUCACACUGAUUCCAGGAGAAAAAGAAGUACCGAAUCAAUAUUGCCCUAAUUAAUAUUUAACCUGUAUAUAAACAAAUAUGGGUCAAGAGGAAUGGUUCUCAACUUGUGGUCCCCAGACCAGCAACAUCAGCUUCAUCUGGGAACUUGUGAAAAAAUUCUAACUCUUGGGUCCCAACCAGUCCUAUCCAAUCAGAAACUUCAGGAGUGGGGCUUAUAGUCUUUGCUUCAACAGGCCCUAUAGGUGAUUCUGAUAAAUGUUCACAUUUUAGUUUCACGGGCCUGGAGGAUUUUUAAAAAAAGUUCUUACUGCCACAGAAAUGCAUACUGUAAUAAGAUUGAGAAAACCUCUAAAUAUUUCUUUUUUAUUUCUUAUUUCUAAUUUUUCUUGUUUCUGUCCAUUGGUGGCAGUAAGAACAGGGAAAGGAAGGGGGAUUUAUGCUUCCUGUUGUGAUAUAUGAUGAUUAUUUUUCUGAUGACAACUCACUAUCACAGUCUUGGUCUCUUAUACCCGUGAGUCACCUCACUACUCCAGUUCAACUAAACUAACCAACAGACCAAAAAAUAAACCAGGCGGUGUUUACAAGUGAUCCUCAUACAAACUACCUCCCUGUGCAGUUCCGGUCACCCAGUCAAGCAGAGACUCAGCGUGGAGACGUGUCUGUUAUUUCUAUCAACGGCACCGACUUUCCCUUCCGAAGUGUGGGCAUCCUCCUCCUGGUUGUGGAUGCCUGCAGUGUUCCCUUCCGGUUGACAGAAAAAAAGGUUUUCUCUUUCACUGAUGUCAGUCGCAUGGAAGAAUAUUUAAAAACAAGCAUCCCUCCAAGGUCAGUUGUCCUGUUGAGCACAAGAGGACAGAUAAAGCAGUUGAAUAUUUCGGAUUCAUUAGUACCUCUGGGAUUAGCCAAGCCAGCCAAUCUUUAUAACAAAGGGAGUACCAUAUUUUUGGGAUUCAAUGGAAACUUUAAACCAUCAUGGACUAAGCUGUAUACCAGCCCUGCUAGACAGGGCCUCGGGCUGCUUGAACAAUUCAUACCUUUGCAGCUGGACGAAUACGGUUGUCACAGAGCUGGCACUAUCCGCCGAAGAGACCUGGAGCUGUUGAAGCAAACUUCAAAGGCACAUUAGAGACUUAACUGUAACUUAAGUGCUGGGGGAUAAAAAUGUGAACUAACUUAUUUAAUUUAUGGCAUUUUAAAAUGACACUGUUAACCCAAUGGAACCAUUUUCCUGUUUGAUGCAGAAAGGGGAGAAAAGUAAGAGUUUAAAGUGAUUGCUUGAAUACCAGCUCACGCACCUUCUAGUUGUACAAAAUGUUAAAGAAUUUAUUUGUAUUUGUUAGGCUGGUAUAUUUCAGAGAUCAGUUCUCUUAUCCCUCACGUCCCACUCCUGUGUUUUGUAGUGACCAUAAACAGUGCUUCACCUUUUGUACAAAAUGGGAUGUUGUGAGGGAAGGGGAGCUUCUGAGAGUCAGCCUGAGUCCUUGAAAGGACCAGCUCUUGUAGCACCUUGGAUACUUGAAGUCUAAUGUUCACUUGUGUCGUUGACUUUGGGUCAGCAGUUGACCUGGGUGGCUGGCAUGUUCAGGAAUGCCUUGGGCCCUGAUUCCAGGCAGCCUUUGAGGAUUUUGUAUGAUACUGAAUGAUGGAGUUUUAAGUGGCAACUCAGGCCCAGCUCAUGCCCUAUUUUGCUUGGACAUGUGCUAUUUUUAUUCAUUUGUAUAUUGAUUCCUUCUAAGGAUUCAGCUUUCAAACAGCAAGUAUUAUUGGGAAAAAAGGGCUUUUAUGGGUUCGACAUCCCUUUAAUCUGUGACCAUUGGGCAAAAAUUGGACCUGCACCAUGGUCUGAUGUUGGUGGGACCAUUUUUGCAGCUUUAAUCCUUAGCCUGUUUGACUGUAUAUUUGUAUUUAAAAUGCAGAGCUGAGCUAAAUAUUUACAUUUUUUAAGAAAAGAAGCAGGCCAUUUUCCUGAACUAUAAACUUGUGUCAUUUCAACUUGCACAAAGGAAGUCUGUUCUUGGAGUUGCUCCUGCACCUGUUUUUUAAAUUUGUUUUUGUGUGUGGAUUUUUUUAAAAGAGCUUCUCUGCUCACCAACCUGGCAGGACAAUUGCAAACAACUUAAUGGUACCCCGAAAUAUUGUACUCAGGGAGAGGAAAAACAGGAGAACCUUUUAAGGGCCAGAAUCAAGGAGAGAAUAUUCAGAAACAAACCUCUUUUUAGCCUUAGAGGAGUCCAUCACUCUUAAGGAAGUCGUUAGGAGCCCACUGAAAAAAAGGCACUGUGAUGCCCUAUUUUUCUUCCUACUGGGUGUGUGCGUCUCCCGCCAGUGAGGACUGCCUGUGGCUAAAGGAGAUGGGUGCCACAGCCAGGAUGUCAUUACACCAAGAGGAAAGAGGUGUUGAAAUGCUUUUAUCUUUUCCUAAACCCACAAUGCAUGAUGUGUAAGGUGGGGAUGGCCACAGCAAGGAAUAUGUUCAGGCUGACUUUGGCAUUGAGUACAGACAAAUUCACUCUUCUCUAUCAAGAGCAACAGCUAACAGCCUGAAACUGCAGAGCAGCUCUGUGACUUUAUCUCCAUUACUUUACAAAAUAUGCUACCUCAAAGUGCUACCGAUAAACCUUUCUAAAUGUAAGUACUCUUGUUAAGAGUACAUGUCUUAAUCAAAGUUUAGGUUUUGGGGUGUUCUUUUUUGUACAUUGAUGAAUGAAAUCUUACCUAUUAAAUAUAUUAUUGGAUCAUGGUUCCUCAAGGUGAUUAAAGUUUGUGUGUGUGUAUUUUUUUUAUGACAAAUAUCUUUUAUGUGUGAUUUUUAGAGUUUGGCUCUUUAAAGAUUUGAAGAGGAUAUGUAAGUUCUAAAGCACUCAGUUUUUCUGAUUUAUGUGCUAAUGGUCAGGGCCCAAUUUAAAUAAAAAUAUGUGUGCAUGUA
Non-coding RNA from Odocoileus virginianus texanus, 3475 nucleotides. Lineage: Eukaryota; Metazoa; Chordata; Mammalia; Artiodactyla; Cervidae. The record is from RefSeq and is a predicted model, not a curated record.